Molecule: non-coding RNA, 544 nt
Organism: Arachis ipaensis
Lineage: Eukaryota; Viridiplantae; Streptophyta; Magnoliopsida; Fabales; Fabaceae
Source: RefSeq, a predicted model, not a curated record
CUCGGUGCUCGUCAUUCUAACACUUCAGUCCGAUCCGUUAAUUAAUUGAUCAGUUUGUAUUUUGGUAUUAUAAUGUUUCAAAAUUUGAGUCGUUCUUUUUCCUCUCUCGUUGUGGUUAGAAGAAGGAUUUUGAAUUUUUCUAUAGAAGCUGUAAAUACUAAUCCGCACUAUUUUUCACUUCUCUGUACCCUAAAACUUUUUCUUAACUGAGAAGCAGCUAACUUGUAAAAGUGGUGAAUGUAGAAAAAUGCUCCUUGGUUAUCAGUGCCACAGUUUGGUGACUAGGAUCAAAAGGGUGGAGUGCCUGACUACUCACUAGAUUUCUCGAAAAUCAGGGAAAUGAGGAAACAAAACAAGACAAAUCUUUCAAGGGCAAGUCUUGGAAACGAAGAAGAGCUCGUGGCUUCAACCACUACCACUACAAACGCAAGCCACACUGAGCCUGAGCCUGUACACCAGCAUCCCCAUUAUCACCAGACAAACUCUCCAACGGCAAGGAGGAGCUUCCUCAGCUACUUCAACUGAUGUGUAAAAGCAUGAUAUU